RNAcentral lists this long non-coding RNA (402 nucleotides) under Sus scrofa (pig). RNAcentral describes it as "lncRNA (ENSSSCG00030046358.1)". The record is from RNAcentral. Lineage: Eukaryota; Metazoa; Chordata; Mammalia; Artiodactyla; Suidae.
GCAUUAAAAAGCCCUGGGCCACCACAGGUCUCCCAUUACCUCCAGCAGCAAUUGAGAGAACGUGUGUUCCUCACUCCUUCAGCUGAAGGCAUUAACCGCCUCCAUUAAAAUGCAAAUGUCAACACCUGGGAGAGCGGCAGAUCGAGCUAUUAUCAGCCAUUUCCUACUCAGCUACAAUCUGAGCUCUUUGAAUGUUUCCCUGUUCCCUGAGGCCCAGAGGUCUGGAGAGAUCCUAGUGGGGAUGGGCUGGAGCGGAAAAACCUCCGAGGAUGACCUACCUUCAAGAUGCCCAUGCCGUCCUGUUAGCUUUUCUCUGACUCGGGGAUGUCAGUUCUUCGAAGGAAAGGUAAGUUAUCGAGUUUGCGGCAUGGGAUUGCUCUCAGAAUGCCAAUAUCAGGGGAG